This 468-nucleotide ribosomal RNA is filed under the name uncultured bacterium. RNAcentral's name for it is "partial 16S ribosomal RNA". It matches the Rfam family "Bacterial small subunit ribosomal RNA", at positions 28 to 507 of the family's 1533-position model. The record is from RNAcentral.
GACGAACGCUGGCGGCGUGCUUAACACAUGCAAGUCGAACGGAAAGGCCCUGCUUUUGUGGGGUGCUCGAGUGGCGAACGGGUGAGUAACACGUGAGUAACCUGCCCUUGACUUUGGGAUAACUUCAGGAAACUGGGGCUAAUACCGGAUAGGAGCUCCUGCUGCAUGGUGGGGGUUGGAAAGUUUCGGCGGUUGGGGAUGGACUCGCGGCUUAUCAGCUUGUUGGUGGGGUAGUGGCUUACCAAGGCUUUGACGGGUAGCCGGCAUGGGAGGGUGACCGGGGACAUGAGGACUGAGAGACGGCGCAGACUCCAACAGGAGGCAGCAGGGGGGAAUAUGGUACAAUGGGCGGACGCCUGAUGCAGCGUCGCCGGGUGCGGGAAGACGGUCUUCGGGUAAUAAACAGCAUUAGCCUGUUACGAAGCGUGAGUGACGGUAAUGAGUAAAGAAGCACCGGCUAACUACGUG